RNAcentral lists this transfer RNA (67 nucleotides) under Amblyomma testudinarium. RNAcentral's name for it is "tRNA-Asn". The record is from RNAcentral. Lineage: Eukaryota; Metazoa; Arthropoda; Arachnida; Ixodida; Ixodidae.
UUAAUAGAAGCCAAAAAUUGAGGCUAUUCACUGUUAAUGAAUAAAUUGAUUAAAUCUUAUCCUAUUA